Molecule: long non-coding RNA, 349 nt
Organism: Helianthus annuus (common sunflower)
Lineage: Eukaryota; Viridiplantae; Streptophyta; Magnoliopsida; Asterales; Asteraceae
Exons: 2
Source: RefSeq, a predicted model, not a curated record
AGCUUGCUUGCUGCAGUCUCUAUAAUGUAUCAACACUCUACAAACACUGUUUGAAAGACAGCAUGCUUGCUUCAGUCUCUAUAAAUAAUUCAGAUGUAUCAACACUCUACAAACACUUUACAAACCCUCAACUACACUCAACUGAAAUUAAUAUAUCGACUCUUUGCAUCUGGAUCUUGCGUUGUUUCUCGGCUCUCACAUCAAGGUUUUAAAUUUUUUGUCGGCUUUUCACAUCUCCCUCUUGCAUUGUUGUAAGUUCUUUCAAAUUUCUUGGUUUUUUUGUAACUUUUAACUGUAGCUUUUAACUUUAGAAGGUUGUAAAUGUUGAAAUAACUGGGGUUUUUGGAUC